RNAcentral lists this non-coding RNA (30 nucleotides) under Rattus norvegicus (Norway rat). The record is from RNAcentral. Lineage: Eukaryota; Metazoa; Chordata; Mammalia; Rodentia; Muridae.
UGGUAGUUCUCUCAAAUGUGAUGUACUCUC